AGAGUUUGAUUCUGGCUCAGAACGAACGCUGGCGGCGUGGAUAAGACAUGCAAGUCGAACGGAAAAUGAGAAUAGCUUGCUAAUCUCAUUUUUAGUGGCGGACGGGUUAGUAACACGUGAGAUACAUACCUCUUAGACAGGAAUAGCCCAUGGAAACGUGGAUUAAUGCCUGAUAGUUCCUACGGGAUAAAGGAUGCCUUCGGGUGUCGCUAAGAGAUUGGCUCGCGGCCUAUCAGUUAGUUGGUGAGGUAAAGGCUCACCAAGACGACGACGGGUAGCUGGUCUGAGAGGACGAUCAGCAACACUGGAACUGAGACACGGUCCAGACACCUACGGGUGGCAGCAGUCGAGAAUCAUUCACAAUGGACGAAAGUCUGAUGGUGCAACGCCGCGUGGAGGAUGACGGUCCUAGGAUUGUAAACUCCUGUCAUUGGGGAGUAAGACUUAGUUGUUAAUAGCUUCUAAGUUUGAUAGUACCCAAAGAGGAAGGGACGGCUAACUUCGUGCCAGCAGCCGCGGUAAUACGAAGGUCCCAAGCGUUGUUCGGAAUAACUGGGCGUAAAGCGUGUGUAGGCUGCGCGGAAAGUCAAAUGUGAAAGCCAGAGGCUCAACCUCUGAACUGCAUUCGAUACUCCCGUGCUAGAGUAAUGGAGAGGUAAGUGGAAUUCUCGGUGUAGCAGUGAAAUGCGUAGAUAUCGAGAGGAACAUCAAUGGCGAAGGCAACUUACUGGACAUUUACUGACGCUCAGACACGAAGGCUAGGGGAGCGAGAGGGAUUAGAUACCCCUGUAGUCCUAGCAGUAAACGGUGCUCGCUUGGUGUGGGAGGGUUCGACCCCUUCUGUGCCGGAGCUAACGCGUUAAGCGAGCCGCCUGGGAAGUACGGUCGCAAGACUAAAACUCAAAGAAAUUGACGGGGACCCGCACAAGCGGUGGAGUAUGUGGCUUAAUUCGAUGCAACGCGAAGAACCUUACCUAGGCUUGACAUGCUUGUCGUACUCUCCCGAAAAGGAGAGGUCACUUCGGGUGGACAAUGCACAGGUGCUGCAUGGCCGUCGUCAGCUCGUGUCGUGAGAUGUUUGGUUAAGUCCAGCAACGAGCGCAACCCCUGUGAAUAGUUGCCAGCGCGUAAAGGCGGGGACUCUAUUCAGACUGCCCAGAUCAACUGGGAGGAAGGUGGGGACGACGUCAGGUCAGUAUGGCCCUUACGCCUAGGGCUGCACACGUACUACAAUGCCCAGUACAAUGAGAACCGAUACCGCGAGGUGGAGGAAAUCUGCAAAACUGGGCCCAGUUCGGAUUGGAGGCUGCAACUCGCCUCCAUGAAGUCGGAAUCGCUAGUAAUGCCGUAUCAGCUACGACGGCGUGAAUACGUUCCCGGGUCUUGUACACACCGCCCGUCACAUCAUGGAAGCCGGUCGCACCCGAAGUAUAUGCGCUAACUUUAUUGAAGCAGUAUCCUAAGGUGAGGCUGGUAACUGGGAUGAAGUCGUAACAAGGUA
RNAcentral lists this ribosomal RNA (1501 nucleotides) under uncultured bacterium. RNAcentral's name for it is "bacterial SSU rRNA". It matches the Rfam family "Bacterial small subunit ribosomal RNA". The record is from RNAcentral.